Nannospalax galili (Upper Galilee mountains blind mole rat) is the source of this 123-nucleotide small nucleolar RNA. Its record names the gene SNORA63. It matches the Rfam family "Small nucleolar RNA SNORA63". Rfam says of the family: E3 belongs to the H/ACA class of snoRNAs and is involved in the processing of eukaryotic pre-rRNA and has regions of complementarity to 18S rRNA. Lineage: Eukaryota; Metazoa; Chordata; Mammalia; Rodentia; Spalacidae. The record is from Ensembl.
AUGCAGGUACAGUUAGAAUAUAACUGAAGUGUUUUAUUGUCGUUCUCCCUGCUUACAGCAUUUGAUGCAUUACUAUAUCUGCCUAGCUCUACCAUAGUAAGACAGAUGCUUGGUUUCAAACAU